AUACGGAGGGUGCAAGCGUUACACGGAAUCACUGGGCGUAAAGCGCGCGCAGGCGGCUAUUUAAGUUGGAUGUGAAAGCCUAUGGCUCAACCAUAGAACUGCAUCCAAAACUAUUUAGCUAGAGUGUGGGAGAGGAAGAUGGAAUUAGUUGUGUAGGGGUAAAAUCCGUAGAGAUAACUAGGAAUACCAAAAGCGAAGGCAAUCUUCUGGGACACUACUGACGCUGAGGCGCGAAAGCGUGGGGAGCAAACAGGAUUAGAAACCCUAGUAGUCC
RNAcentral lists this ribosomal RNA (274 nucleotides) under uncultured bacterium. RNAcentral describes it as "partial 16S ribosomal RNA". It matches the Rfam family "Bacterial small subunit ribosomal RNA", at positions 523 to 796 of the family's 1533-position model. The record is from RNAcentral.